This is a long non-coding RNA of Anguilla rostrata (American eel), 3093 nucleotides long. RefSeq lists it as uncharacterized. The transcript is spliced from 3 exons. The record is from RefSeq and is a predicted model, not a curated record. Lineage: Eukaryota; Metazoa; Chordata; Actinopteri; Anguilliformes; Anguillidae.
AGGUUUUAACUGAAAGGAAAUUGAGUGAUAUCUUACAAAUGUGGGAAAUGACAGUAAUUUAAAGCGACUUUAUAAAACUAAAAUAAACGCUUUACUGUUUUUUUUUUUAAAAACGGAAUGCAAGCAAGCAAGCUUGGAGAGUUAAUGUUGCUCUGUUUUACCUUUAUAAAGUGAACGCACAAACUUUUGAGGGAUUGUAUUUUUUAUAAGGAGAUAGAAGUAAUCCACCGAUGGGGAUAGAAGGUGGUUAAAGGAGCAACGGAGAUUAGACGUCUUCAAACGCAACUAAUAUUCUGUCUUAACUAUCAAAUUUUAAGUGUGAAUUUUGUUGAAUUACACCGCAGUGCCGUGUUUAAGUAAAGAAGGAUAAUGGAAGGAUGCAUUCACCAUAGCCAUGGUUGAGCUUCUGGCUGACGUUGUAGCUACACAUGGAUUCUAUCUAGCCUCUGCAAUACAUCUUAAUUUGUUGUUGACCAACAGCCGUUUUCUCCUCGGUGAAGAUAGAUUGGACUUCGAGAUUCACUCACUACUCAAACGGACUGAACUUUUUAUUCCGAGGACCGACCGAGGUCUUACUUCGUUUACCAGACUCUCACCAGUGCUCUCUUUCUUCUUAAUGAUGUUCCAAACAGUUGAUUUUGGUUAGCCGAAGGUUUGGCCUAUGACUCUGACUAUUAUUAUUAUGAUGAUUAUUAUUAUUAGGAUGACGAUGAUGGUUGUCGUUGUUAUUGUUGAACUAUAGGUAAGAUAUUGAAAGGCUUGCUAAUCAUUAACCAAAGCACAUAAUUAUCUCAAACUAACUGUAUCUGAAAGAGUGCCCCAUGUAGACAUAUCCUCAACCUUUCCCUGAUGUGAAAUCAUUUUUAUAAUUUACAUUUUUGUUCAAAUACAGUGUAUAUUCAGUGUUUCACUGCUGGCUUGGAAUAGGUUAUUAAAACCAGUUUUGCUCCUUGAACAAAAUAUACAGUGUCAUGAAAACAUAUUUGCCACUUUCCUGAUUUCUUCUAUUACUGCAUAUUUGUCACACUGAAACAAAUUUGCAUAAAUAUGCACACUUGCAAAAAUUCUGUUCUUAUUCUGCAUCAGGAGUAAGUAGCGGUGUGGAUAUGCACCCAUCUCCCUGAAGAUAAUUACCCUCUGGAAUCUGUGCAAUGUGACUUAACCAAGCGGCCAAAACCAGACUUCGUUUUUGAAGCUCAUUUCCUGGUCUUGUUGUUCCUGGUUGUUCAAUAGCGCCGCUGCGGUUGGCUCCAGUAUAGGUGUUUUCAUAUCCGGUUUCCAUGUAAAUCUACGGUACAAAUGCGGUCAAAAUACAAAGUCAAUAAUUUUUUCUCACAAGAACAAAUAGUCACAAUAUGUGUAUUUUAUUCGUCUUAUGACUCUCCAUGGGUCGAUUUCAUGAUUUAUUGUGUCAUUUGGUCACUUGUAAUAUUUGUUGUGGACCAAUGAGGUAUAGUUUUCGUCACUUCCUGAUUACUGCAGAGGACUAAGCUACAGUAGGGGCUACAGUCUAUGGUCACCGGGGUGGGAGGUGGCGCCUCUUGGCCUUGACAUUGACCAAAUACUAAACAUGACUACUUUCCUUUACAUACAGUGAUCAUCAUAAAUGGAAAUCCAGCUGUAUCUCUUUACAAAUAAAAAUAUUUGGGGUAACUGUAUGAUGUAGUGUUUCAGCAACACUGGUUUACCAGAUACCAGUGAAACAUAUCAAGUCUAACAAGGACCCAAAGGUGCUCAAUUGAAUUUUGAUGUUGCUCAGCACACCCCAUCAAACAUCACUCAAUGUUGACUAAUUCACUGAUUUUACAGUUAUUGAUGACAUAUCUUUCUAUGUUGCGGUUAAGUAUAUGUUUAAUAGAUGUCAAUUUUGUUUUCUUUUUUGUGAUGGUCAUAAUUUAGAAGCAGAAACAAAUUUUGCUCAGAGGGGGUGUACUCAUUUGCAACAUGGCUUUUUAUAAUGUUGGUUAAAUAAAACAUACUUUCCUGUUUAGCAUUGCAGUAUUGCUGAAGCACUACAUAAUAUAGGAACCCCAAAUCGUUUUUAUUUGUAAAGCGAUAAAGCUGGAUUUCCAUUUUUCAGAGAGGGUGUACUCAUUUAUGAUGUGCACUGUAACAUUGCUGUGUCCCAAGCAUGGUGCCCUAAAAUUGGGGGGAUUAUGUAUAAAAAGGUCUGUAAUUCAUACACGGUUCACCCGAUAUGGAUGUAAAUACCCUUUUUUAUUACAAAUCUCAAAUUGUGGAGUACAGAGGCAAAUCAAUAAAUGAUGGGUCUUUGUCCGAAACAUUAUGGAGGGCACUGUAUUCCUAAUAAUAUUAAAAUGUGUUUAAUUUCAUAUAUUUCUGCCUCUGCUGCUGACGUUGAGAGGUCCUUGACUUUGCCUGACAGUCCUCGAUUGAUUGUUCUCGGUAUGCAUGUGUCCGAUGGAACAGACAAGUUGCUGGAUGGUGACCAUAGAGAGCCAAGUGUUGACUGAGGGGGAGUCAUUCACAUUGGGGUUUGCCACACUGGUUUCCUGCUUCUAUAACUUCAACCUGAAGUAUCAGGAUGGUGCUUGCUGCACAUUGGAGUUCAUCCAGAGAUUCUUUAUUGGUAUUAACCCAGAGCGUGGGUCCAAAGCUCGGCAGGGGAAGGUCAGUAGCAAGCGUUCUGGGAAGGUGGUCCAGAAAAAACAGACAUCUCUUAAUCCUCAUGUGUGCACCUUCAUGAAGAAAUUUAUGGACUUUCAGUGGGACUUUGUCUAAUGUUUUUCUAAGGUUGCAGAUAUUCAAAUUUAAUUACUGCUAGGUUCACCCGAUAUGGAUGUAAAUACCCUUUUUUAUAACAAAUAAAUAAAUAAAGGCAAAUAAAUAAAUGAUGGGUCGUUGCCCCAAACAUUAUGGAGGGCACUGUAUAUGUUUUCACUUAAGUUUUUGUUUAGUGUGUUCUACAGUCAAGGAGAUCAGGAUUUGAGUUGACCUUAAGGCAAUCUGUUUGGACUUUGUACUCCAAAUAAGUUUCUUUUUAAUCACAUUGCAGCUAUUUUUGCUGAUUUUUGAAAUUCCAAGCACUUUACUUUUUGAAAAACUGAAAUAAAAAAGUAAGAAUACAUUUAA